This 345-nucleotide ribosomal RNA is filed under the name uncultured Sulfitobacter sp. RNAcentral describes it as "bacterial SSU rRNA". It matches the Rfam family "Bacterial small subunit ribosomal RNA", at positions 525 to 869 of the family's 1533-position model. The record is from RNAcentral. Lineage: Bacteria; Pseudomonadati; Pseudomonadota; Alphaproteobacteria; Rhodobacterales; Roseobacteraceae.
ACGGAGGGGGUUAGCGUUGUUCGGAAUUACUGGGCGUAAAGCGUACGUAGGCGGAUCAGAAAGUAGGGGGUGAAAUCCCAGGGCUCAACCCUGGAACUGCCUCCUAAACUCCUGGUCUUGAGUUCGAGAGAGGUGAGUGGAAUUCCAAGUGUAGAGGGGAAAUUUCGUAGAUAUUUGGAGGAACACCAGUGGCGAAGGCGGCUCACUGGCUCGAUACUGACGCUGAGGUACGAAAGUGUGGGGAGCAAACAGGAUUAGAUACCCUGGUAGUCCACACCGUAAACGAUGAAUGCCAGUCGUCGGGCAGUAUACUGUUCGGUGACACACCUAACGGAUUAAGCAUCC